RNAcentral lists this non-coding RNA (25 nucleotides) under Mus musculus (house mouse). Lineage: Eukaryota; Metazoa; Chordata; Mammalia; Rodentia; Muridae. The record is from RNAcentral.
UACUGACCACUGUCGGAAAACUGGA